This 857-nucleotide ribosomal RNA is filed under the name uncultured bacterium. RNAcentral's name for it is "SSU rRNA". It matches the Rfam family "Bacterial small subunit ribosomal RNA", at positions 524 to 1381 of the family's 1533-position model. The record is from RNAcentral.
UACGGGAGUGGCAAGCGUUAUCCGGAAUUAUUGGGCGUAAAGCGUCCGCAGGCGGCCUUUUAAGUCUGUUGUUAAAGCGUGGAGCUUAACUCCAUUUGAGCAAUGGAAACUGGAAGGCUUGAGUGUGGUAGGGGCAGAGGGAAUUCCCGGUGUAGCGGUGAAAUGCGUAGAUAUCGGGAAGAACACCAGUGGCGAAGGCGCUCUGCUGGGCCAUAACUGACGCUCAUGGACGAAAGCCAGGGGAGCGAAAGGGAUUAGAUACCCCUGUAGUCCUGGCCGUAAACGAUGAACACUAGGUGUCGGGGGAAUCGACCCCCUCGGUGUCGUAGCCAACGCGUUAAGUGUUCCGCCUGGGGAGUACGCACGCAAGUGUGAAACUCAAAGGAAUUGACGGGGGCCCGCACAAGCGGUGGAGUAUGUGGUUUAAUUCGAUGCAACGCGAAGAACCUUACCAGGGUUUGACAUCCUGCGAAUCCCUUGGAAACGAGGGAGUGCCUUCGGGAGCGCAGUGACAGGUGGUGCAUGGCUGUCGUCAGCUCGUGUCGUGAGAUGUUGGGUUAAGUCCCGCAACGAGCGCAACCCACGUCGUUAGUUGCCAGCAUUCAGUUGGGCACUCUAGCGAGACCGCCGGUGAUAAACCGGAGGAAGGUGUGGAUGACGUCAAGUCAUCAUGCCCCUUACAUCCUGGGCUACACACGUACUACAAUGCUAUGGACAAAGGGCAGCAAACUCGCGAGAGCUAGCAAAUCCCAUAAACCGUGGCUCAGUUCAGAUCGUAGGCUGCAACUCGCCUACGUGAAGGAGGAAUCGCUAGUAAUCGCAGGUCAGCAUACUGCGGUGAAUACGUUCCCGGGCCU